CAUCUGCUGCCAGCUUGGCAUUAUCUAUCUGCACCACCAGCCUGGCAUUCUCAGAUUUGCUGCACAGGAUCUGAGGAAGGAGAGACCGCAUGAAUUAGUGAGCAUGAAAACUAAAUA
This 117-nucleotide microRNA precursor is filed under the name Cricetulus griseus (Chinese hamster). Its description in RNAcentral is "mir-492". Lineage: Eukaryota; Metazoa; Chordata; Mammalia; Rodentia; Cricetidae. The record is from RNAcentral.